RNAcentral lists this unclassified non-coding RNA (1325 nucleotides) under Hevea brasiliensis (rubber tree). The record is from RNAcentral. Lineage: Eukaryota; Viridiplantae; Streptophyta; Magnoliopsida; Malpighiales; Euphorbiaceae.
GAGAGAGAGAAAGAGAGAGAGAGGAAUAGAGAAAGAGACAGACCUAAGGAGGAAAGAGAGAUAUGGAGAGAGAGGGAGACACAGUGAGAGAAAGAGGGAGAGGGAGAGAUGAAAAAAGACGCAUGGGAAAAUCAUUCUGUCUCUAUCUCUCUCCAUAUCGUUUAUUCUCUCUCUCUCUCUCUAUGCCUCUCUCUCAAUCUAUCGUUACCUAAUCUCCACCUCUCUGUGCCUACUCUCCACAUAUCUCUCUCUCUCUCUCUCUCAUUAAUUGAACGGUCUUCCUUUUCACGCUUAGCAAUCCAUCAUGGCGGACCCUUCUAGACCCGCUACUGGCUACCCUGUUCACCCGGCCCAACAUCCCAACGGCUACCCUCCGCCGCAAUCUGCCACAGCCUAUGCACCGCCGCCGCCCAAUAACCCCUACUAUUACAAUCAACCGCCAGCAUAUCCCAACCCACGCGCCGCCCUAAUCCGCCGCUUAAUUGCAGCUCUUAUUGUCGUCACCGUCCUAUUCUUAACCAUUCUCUUCAUAUGCUGGCUCGUCAUCCAGCCCCACCGCCCCGAAUUUCAUGUAACGUCUUUUUCUGUCUCCAACUUGAACGUAUCCACAUCCUCGCAGAGACUGACAGGCAACUGGAACGCCCGCUUCCAGGUUUAUAACCCGAACAAGAAACUGAAAAUCUCCUACGAUGAAAUUAUGUCCUCGAUUCUUUACAAAUCGGAGAUUUUAUCACAGACACGAAUCCCACCCUUCAAACAGGACACCAAGAAUCAUACUACCAUGGAUGCAGAGUUCUCGGUGGUGGAUUCUUACGUGGACGAGCGGGUGGUGAAUGGUAUCAACGGGGACAGGGCAAACGGUGCUGUGGGUUUCGAGGUGCGGGUGGUGGCUGAUGUUGGAUUUAAGGUAGGUGGGUUCAGAGCGCGGCGGCGUUUGCUAAGAGUUUGGUGCGACAAUGUGUCCAUUGGACUUACGGCUAAUGGUAGAUCGGGGAACUUGACUGGGGGAGCAAGGAAAUGCAAGGUUUUUGCGUGAGUAAAAUUUGGAGCCGUUAGUUUGAUCCUGUUAUCUUGCUGACUAACUUGAAGUAUAAUUUCAUUUCGAGAAAAGGAUAAAAUAAUAUCUUCUGAUGCUGGUAACCGAUGAGUGUAGCUGUACAUGAAUUUAGGCUUUUGAAGCUAGUGAACUCUACUUUUAUUGUUGUAUAGUGUUUUUAAUUGAUGGUAAUUUGAUUUAUGCAGUUUAAUUGCAUAUGCUGUUUCUAAAAUUGAUCUUAAUUCCCAAUGGUAUCUUUUUCUGUUUCAAUGAAAAAUGGAGUUUAAGC